UGCAGCGUCGAUAGUAAGUUGAAAACACCAGUCCCCAAAGGACCACUAAAGUGAAGCAACGUUGCGCGUGGUUAGAACCCGGAUGGGUCAUUCUAGGCAAUCACGUGCUGCUGUCU
This 116-nucleotide ribosomal RNA is filed under the name Diaphorina citri (Asian citrus psyllid). The record is from RNAcentral. Lineage: Eukaryota; Metazoa; Arthropoda; Insecta; Hemiptera; Psyllidae.